This 99-nucleotide ribosomal RNA is filed under the name Jaculus jaculus (lesser Egyptian jerboa). The record is from RNAcentral. Lineage: Eukaryota; Metazoa; Chordata; Mammalia; Rodentia; Dipodidae.
GUCUACAGUCAUACCACCUGAACAUUGUUGAUCUUGUCUGAUCCUGAAAACUAAGCAGGGUCAGGCCUGGUUAGUACUUGGAUGGGAGAAAUGUUGAUU